RNAcentral lists this long non-coding RNA (720 nucleotides) under Mytilus galloprovincialis (Mediterranean mussel). The record is from RNAcentral. Lineage: Eukaryota; Metazoa; Mollusca; Bivalvia; Mytilida; Mytilidae.
AUUUAUAACAUGACCUUGACCUUCGACCUUGAUCUCAAUUUCAAGGUCAUAGGUCAGUGAACUCAAAACGGAAGACCGGAGGUCAAUCACUUGUAUGGUUGUGGAGAAAUACUGAUUUGAAAUACAUAACGGGAGAAAACUCCUAUAUGAGUUAACCAGAAAUAAGUUGAAGUUGCGCCUUAUUGUAAACAGUUAUUUGGCAAACACAUCAUAUCAUUUACUGUCAUCGUUUCUGUGGAAUAACGAUAACAAGCAAAAUUUAAAAUCUAUAACAUGACCUUGACCUUUGACCUUGACCUCAAUUUCCUUCAAAUGGAUCAAGGACUUCAUAUCAAAAGACUGUAGGCCUCUACGACUUAUAACGUAUGAAUUUAUCCAACACAUCGCCUAUCUUAAAUUUUCAAAGGGAAAUAACUCCCAUAAGAUGUCCUCCGAUCACUCAAUUCAAAAUUAACCAAAUCAUUCUUAAGAGUAGACGAACAAUUUGGUGAAAACAGUUUGCUAAAAUCUUUUACGGUUUUAGAGAUGUAGCGAUAACAAGAAAAAGGGGACGCGGGGAGAUAACUCCUAUAAGAAUAAGUGGUCGGUCAAACAGGGUGAGUUUUGAAACCCCCAUUACUGUACAACAUCAUUGGCCAAAAAAUCCAUUCGAUAUGUUGUAAGACAAAAAGCAUCUCAGACGGCAGAAGAAAAAAAAAAUAAUCAGAAGAAAAACCAAAG